GUCUACAGCCAUGCUACCCUGAACGAGCCUGAUCCUGUCUGGUCUCACGAGCUAAGCAGGGGCAGGCCUGGUUAGUACUUGGAUGGGAGACAACCUAGGAAGACCAGGUGCUGUAGGCA
Molecule: ribosomal RNA, 119 nt
Filed under: Pteropus alecto (black flying fox)
Lineage: Eukaryota; Metazoa; Chordata; Mammalia; Chiroptera; Pteropodidae
Source: RNAcentral